GACGAACGCUGGCGGCGUGCCUAAUACAUGCAAGUCGAGCGCAGGAAACCGUCUGAACCCUUCGGGGGGACGACGGUGGAAUGAGCGGCGGACGGGUGAGUAACACGUAAAGAACCUGCCCACGGGUCUGGGAUAACCACGAGAAAUCGGGGCUAAUACCGGACGGGUCAUCGGACCGCAUGGUCCGAGGAUGAAAGGCGCUCCGGCGUCGCCCGUGGAUGGCUUUGCGGUGCAUUAGCUAGUUGGUGGGGUAAUGGCCCACCAAGGCGACGAUGCAUAGACGACCUGAGAGGGUGAUCGGCCACACUGGGACUGAGACACGGCCCAGACUCCUACGUGAGGCAGCAGUAGGGAAUCUUCCACAAUGGACGAAAGUCUGAUGGAGCAACGCCGCGUGAACGAUGAAGGCUCUCGGGUCGUAAAGUUCUGUUGUAAGGGAAGAACAAGUGCCGCAGGCAAUGGCGGCACCUUGACGGUACCUUGCGAGAAAGCCACGGCUAACUACGUGCCAGCCGCCGCGGUAA
Molecule: ribosomal RNA, 524 nt
Filed under: uncultured bacterium
Lineage: Bacteria
Description: partial 16S ribosomal RNA
Rfam family: Bacterial small subunit ribosomal RNA
Source: RNAcentral